GGGAGUGAGAGUGGCUGGGUGGCCACUGGGGAGCUUGUUGGGGUCAGCCCACCACAGGUACCCAGUAUUAUUUAAAUUUCAAGCACUGAAAUGUGCGUAUAUAUCCAGCAAGUAUCACUUCUAUAGCAUAUUCCAGGUAAGAGCCUGAGUACCUCACACAUGGCUCAGCCUUACUUGCCCCAGAGAGGCACAUAAGCCACUGGCCCUGUUCAGCACACAGGGGUGCUGAGAGGGGAAAAAAGCAUUUCUGUCUGCAUGUCUGGCAAGAAUAUGUUUACAGUCCUGGCAGGGACUUUAGAGACCACACAGUAGCAUGGAAAAGGAGGAAUUCCUGGCAGACUUACUACCCAGCUGACCCAGCAGCUCCCUGCAAGGCUGAGGGUUUCCUGGGAGUCGGCAUGGAGUUUCUCUGCCUACCUGCUGCCUUUGACGGCAACAAGAGAUACUUCAAAGGGCUCGAUGUGCUGAUUGGACCUGGCCGUGGGCUGGUGGAGAGGAGAGGCUCAUCACUGACACCAUUUCCAUACCCACUUUCGAUGCUGGUCAUAACCCCACCACGAGCACUGCGUGAAAUCAGCAGGUUAUGUGCAAGGAAUGGAACAUUUGACUUUCUGCAUUACACCAAGAGAUGAAUCAGCAACAAGUUGUCAAGCUUUUCAUCUUCUUUUUUUUUUUAAUAAUUAAAAUCAACAAGAAAUUCA
This is a long non-coding RNA of Lepidothrix coronata (blue-crowned manakin), 701 nucleotides long. RefSeq lists it as uncharacterized. The transcript is spliced from 3 exons. Lineage: Eukaryota; Metazoa; Chordata; Aves; Passeriformes; Pipridae. The record is from RefSeq and is a predicted model, not a curated record.